Molecule: ribosomal RNA, 301 nt
Filed under: uncultured bacterium
Lineage: Bacteria
Description: partial 16S ribosomal RNA
Rfam family: Archaeal small subunit ribosomal RNA
Source: RNAcentral
CAGUAGCCGCGGUAAUACCAGCAGCCCAAGUGGUGGUCGCGAUUAUUGGGCCUAAAGCGCUCGUAGCCGGGCCGGUAAGUCCCUUGUGAAAUCGGACGGCCUAACCGUUCGGCGUGCAAGGGAUACUGUCGGUCUUGAGGCCGGGAGACGUCCGAGGUACUCCGGGGGUAGCGGUGAAAUGUUCUAAUCCUCGGGGGACCACCGGUGGCGAAGGCGUUCGACGAGAACGGGCCUGACGGUGAGGGGCGAAGGCUAGGGGAGCAAACGGGAUUAGAUACCCGCGUAGUCCCUGUCUCUUAUU